AUGGGAUUCUCCAGGCAGGGAUACUGGAGUGGGUUGCCGUGCCCUCCUCCAGGGGAUCUUUCCUGGACCUCAUGUCAUCCCAAUGCAUCUCAUCCAGGGAGCUGUGGGUCUUUAAGUCUGGGGGCUUUGGGAGGCAGAGAAUACUUCCAGCACCUUCCUGAAUGUUCUAUCAGAGACUUGGCUGAGGAAAUCCGCCUUGCUUUCCUUCUGACCCAGCUACGAUACUCUGAGGGUGGAGCCGAGGGCACAUUUGUGUUGAUGGUGGAGGAGCAUCAUUUCCACAUGGGUGCCGGGCUCGCAGCUGCGAAGAACAGCCUUACCAACAUCAUCAAGCUGGAGCAGAACUUCCCCCAGUUCCACGCCCUUCCUGGGGAGCUGGUCCUUCAGACCUCAUACGAGCGAGCCCGUGGCACCCAAGUCCUGCACCACACGGUGCUGUGGGAUGGGCAGGGCGUGGCCCUCAAGGGGAGCCUCAAUGGGAGCCUCUCCAUGCCCUUCCUCAAGCCCGCUGGGACCCUUGGUCUGCAGGUGGAGCUCACCCACCCGCUGCCCCUGCCCCUUCCAUGGCACUGCAGCUUCCGCCUGACCUCCGAGCAUUCAGCACGCCGUCACCAGGAUGACCUGGUUGUGGGCUGGGACGGCAAGGACCAGGUGGCGCUGUCCUCCUCUCUGCAGCUGGGAAAGGGCAAGCUGGCCGCCCGCCUGGCCCUGGCUCACCCUUUCAGCCUCUCCUGGCGGCAGGCCCAGGCCAGUGGCCUUGCUGAGAGCAGGGGCGGCAGGCAGAGCUGGCAGGUGCAGCUUGCCUGGAACGGAGGGCAGCCGCUGGCCUUGCAGCUCACCUGGGCCAACAGGUCCUCGACGCAGAGCACCUCCUGGGAUGGUUGCGUGGCUGCCUCCCUGGGGCAGCUCCAGGACACCUGGGGCCUGGGCACCCUCAGGGCCUGUGGGGCCUUAACGCAGACCCCAGCUGUGCUCAGCGAGUGGCUGGAUCUGUCCUGGGACGGACGCCAGGUGCGGCAGAACCUGACUUACGAGAGGCGCCAGCCAUUCCUCCCGGACAAGAUCCAUGCAGAGGCCAUGCUGGAGCAUGUCCUCGGGGCCCCCUGCUCCACGCAGAGCUUCUGGGGAGACGUGGAGACAGACCAUGCCCGCUGGGUGCGCCACUCCCUGCGGCUGGGGCUCUGCCACCUGCCCACGGUGAGUGUGUCCCCGGGGAAGGGCCCAGGGAUCCAGCGGUAAAGAGAGAGGAGGGUGCCCACCCAGGGCAGGGGUGUGAGUGAGGGAGCCGGGUCCCGUCAUCAUGGGUCCUCACAGGCCUGCAGGCAGCCCCGGGCAGGGCGCUGUCCUCUCUGAGUAUCUGGUGUUUCAUCUGAGGGAUGGGAGACACAGUUGGUUCCAGCACGUGGGGUGAUGGGGAGAUUUAAGAUGUGGCACUGGGAAAGUGCUCGACAUGUAAACCAAGCUGCUGUUUUCAUUGUUGUUAGGGGGAGGGGUUGGGACCCCUAUCCCCCAACAUUCCCCUGGGUUUGUUAGCUAGUUGAUUGUUCUUUCCUGCCUUCCUCCACCCACCUUUUACCCAUCUUUCCAGCCAUCCAUCCAUCCAUCCAUCUACCCACUCUCCAAUCCAUCCUCCCAUUCAUCCAUCCAUUCCUUCAUCCUCCCCAUCUUCCAGCCUCCUCCCUUCCAUCCAUCCUUCCAUCUAUCCAUCCUUCCCCUUUCCCGUUCCCCACACCCUCUCAUCUCUCUAACAGUCCCGGGGGUCACAAACUUUUCCUCCAAAGGGCCAGGUAGUAAAUAUUUUAUUUAUUUAAAAAAUUUGUUUUUGUUUGUGUUGGGUCUUUGGUCUUUGUCCGUGUUGCCGCGUGAGGGCUUCCUCUAGUUGCGGCGAGCAGGGACCACUCCCUUGGUGCGCUGCACGGGCGUCUCACUGCGGUGGCUUCUCCUGUUGCAGAGCACGGGCUCUGGGCACCAGGGCUUCAGUAGUUGCGGUGUCCAGGUUUAGUUUCUCCGUGGCAGCUGAGAUCUUCCCGGACCAGGGACUGAACCCGUGUCCUCUGCACUGGCAGGCAGAUUCUUAACCACUGAGCAGCCAGGGAAGUCACAGUGAAUAUUUCAGGUCUUACAGACCAUGUGGACUCUGUUGCAGCCACUCAAGUCUGCCAUUCAGCCGUGAAGGCCACCGUGGAGGACGUGUAAAUGAAGGGGUAUGGCCAGUCCCAAUAAAAACUAUUUACAAGAACAGGCAGUGAACCAGAUUUGGCCCAUGAGCCGAAGUUGCCAGCCCCCAACCUGUCCAUCCAUUCAGAGAGCAUUUGUGGGUCUUUCUUAUGCCAGGCUCUGUUCUAGGUGCAGGCACAAGGAUGGUGAAAGGGACAGACCAGGUGCCCGCCCUCCCGAAGCUCAGAGUCCCGUGGGUAGAAGAAGAUAAACAAGACAGGUGUAGUGAAUGCUAUGAAAGAAUGAAGCAGGGAGAGGGACGAAUGCAGAAUGCGGUGAGAACAGCCAGUGCAAAGGCCCUGUGGCGGAGCAUGCUUAUAGAUGUUUGAGGAACACAGGGUGGCUUUACAGAGAGAGCAAGGAGGUGAGGUUAGGAAGAUAAUGCACGUCCAC
Bos grunniens (domestic yak) is the source of this 2610-nucleotide long non-coding RNA. The record is from Ensembl. NCBI's taxonomy places the organism in Eukaryota, Metazoa, Chordata, Mammalia, Artiodactyla, Bovidae.